RNAcentral lists this ribosomal RNA (333 nucleotides) under Mantidactylus melanopleura. Its description in RNAcentral is "partial 16S ribosomal RNA". It matches the Rfam family "Bacterial large subunit ribosomal RNA", at positions 2018 to 2516 of the family's 2925-position model. The record is from RNAcentral. Lineage: Eukaryota; Metazoa; Chordata; Amphibia; Anura; Mantellidae.
GUCUCCUUUUUCAAUCAGUGAAAUUAAUCUCCCCGUGAAGAAGCGGGGAUACUCAUAUAAGACGAGAAGACCCCAUGGAGCUUCAAACCCAACUACACCCCUAGCUCUUAUAGCCCCACAACCCCCCUAGGCACCGUGUACUUGGUUUUAGGUUGGGGCGACCGCGGAGUACAAUAAAACCUCCNCAAUGAANGGGAACACCCCCUUAUCUGAGGGCCACACCCCCUAANAAUUAGAACACUAACAUAAAAUGAUCCAUUACUUGAUCAAUGAACCAAGUUACCCUGGGGAUAACAGCGCAAUCCAUUUCAAGAGCCCCUAUCNACAAAUGGG